UAAUGUAGGAGAUUGUGAAGCUGUAAGGAGCUAACCUGCUGAUCAACCUGGCAAGAAGUCCGGAAGGGUUCUUAAAAUUGCGAAGCCACUGCAAGGCUGCAUGAUCCGUUUUGACUUCGAAAGGGGCACCAGCAAGGGCUGCUCCCAGUCCUGUAAGACUUGCAUCCGAGUAGAAGACAAAAGGACCUUUGGAGAUAUCUGGUACACCCAGAAAUGGAGCUGAACUGAGAAGUUUCUUGACGGUUUGAAAACUCUUCUCACAGUCACUGGUCCAGGCGAACUCAACAUCUUUAUGAAGUAACUUGUACAAAUGAGCUGCUUCAGUUGCCAUGUUAGUGCCUAUUCCCUCUUUUGAAAGCAUGUGGCCUAGGUACUCACAAUUGUCUUGGAAGAUGAAGCAUUUCUUGGCUUUCAAGAAGAAACCUGAAGCACGCACACGAUUGAAGAGAGCUUCUAGUCUGAGAAGCAUAGAUGGAAAGUCAUCACCUGCGAUACAAAUAACAAAUAUCGUCAAGGUAGACAGCACUGUGUGGACCAACAUCAUUCUCAGGAGUUGGAUUUCUUGGUUGUCUCAUCAAUCGGUCCGUAACUUGUUGGAAAAUGCCAGGAGCUGCAGACAAACCGAAACCGAGUCUUGUCCACUCAAAAUGUCGAGCUGGUAGGCCUAGAUCUUCAGGCAAGAUGACUGCAGUUUUGGGAAUGUCUUUCUCAUCAAUUACAAGGUUAUGGUAGCCAUGCGCUAAGUCAAAGGAGUGAUAAAUCUUGUGACCAGCUACUUUCUGAGUACACAUAAAAUGGGAGAUGCCCACGCUGAGUUACUCGGGCGAACAGCUCCACAUUCUAUGUACUUCAUGAAAGUUUCAAAGACUGCUUUACGGUAAUGAAGAGGGAUUGGUCUUGCUUGCAUCUUGAUGGGAGGAUGGUCUCCUGUGUCCAUGGUAAACUUAACCCACGGACAGCAACCAAACGUUGUGUUGUCUGGCGCAAAGAC
Frankliniella occidentalis (western flower thrips) is the source of this 991-nucleotide long non-coding RNA. RefSeq lists it as uncharacterized. The transcript is spliced from 4 exons. NCBI's taxonomy places the organism in Eukaryota, Metazoa, Arthropoda, Insecta, Thysanoptera, Thripidae. The record is from RefSeq and is a predicted model, not a curated record.